RNAcentral lists this ribosomal RNA (522 nucleotides) under uncultured bacterium. Its description in RNAcentral is "bacterial SSU rRNA". It matches the Rfam family "Bacterial small subunit ribosomal RNA", at positions 355 to 896 of the family's 1533-position model. The record is from RNAcentral.
UGGGGAAUAUUGGACAAUGGACCAAGAGUCUGAUCCAGCAAUUCUGUGUGCACGAUGACGUUUUUCGGAAUGUAAAGUGCUUUCAGUUGGGAAGAAGAAAUGACGGUACCAACAGAAGAAGUGACGGCUAAAUACGUGCCAGCAGCCGCGGUAAUACGUAUGUCACGAGCGUUAUCCGGAUUUAUUGGGCGUAAAGCGCGUCUAGGUGGUUAUGUAAGUCUGAUGUGAAAAUGCAGGGCUCAACUCUGUAUUGCGUUGGAAACUGUGUAACUAGAGUACUGGAGAGGUAAGCGGAACUACAAGUGUAGAGGUGAAAUUCGUAGAUAUUUGUAGGAAUGCCGAUGGGGAAGCCAGCUUACUGGACAGAUACUGACGCUGAAGCGCGAAAGCGUGGGUAGCAAACAGGAUUAGAUACCCUGGUAGUCCACGCCGUAACGAUGAUUACUAGGUGUUGGGGGUCGAACCUCAGCGCCCAAGCAAACGCGAUAAGUAAUCCGCCUGGGGAGUACGUACGCAAGUAUG